RNAcentral lists this small RNA (187 nucleotides) under Pan troglodytes (chimpanzee). RNAcentral's name for it is "retained intron". Lineage: Eukaryota; Metazoa; Chordata; Mammalia; Primates; Hominidae. RNAcentral also lists the same sequence under 1 other name. The record is from RNAcentral.
GGCCUCUUUCAGAAAUCUCGAUCUGAGGAAUGUAGAGGGCGGCCUGUGAUUGACAGAAAGAGGAAGUUUUUGGACACAGAUCUGGCUCACGAUUCUGAAGAGCUGUUUCAGGAUCUCAGUCAACUUCAAGAGGCUUGGUUAGCUGAAGGCAAGUUUCAUGGAUGUCCUAUUUUCCAUAUAAAACAUU